GACCCUAAAAAGUUCUAAAAGCACAAAGAUUUGGUCCUGGUCUUAUUGUCAGUUAUCUCUUGAUUUAUACAUGCAAGUCUCAGCACACCAGUGAGGACGCCCUUACCCCUUCUAUAGGACAAGGAGCUGAUAUCAGGCACUUCCACCGCCCAUAACAUCUAGUCCGACCACACCCCCAAGGGUAUUCAGCAGUGAUAAACAUUGUUUAUAAGCGACAGCUUGACUCAGUCAAAGAGAAGAGGGCCGGCCAACCCGGUGCCAGCCGCCGCGGCUAAACCCUAGGGCCCAAAUUGAUAAUACUCGGCGUCAAUCGUGAUUAAAGCUUUCUAAAAUUAGAGUAGAACCUAUUAUUAAGCUGUGAAAAGCAAUUUUUUUAGGGAAAAUCAGAAACGAAAGUUACUCUAAUACACACUUGAACACACGACAACUGGGGAACAAACUGGGAUUAGAUACCCCACUAUGCCCAGUCGUAAAAUAUUAACUUACGCACAAAAACGCCCGGGAACUACGAGCUCUAGCUUAAAACCCAAAGGACUUGACGGUGUCCCACCCAACUAGAGGAGCCUGUCCUAUAAUCGAUGGUCCCCGAUAUACCCAACCUUUUCUUGCUCAUCAGUCUGUAUACCUCCGUCGCAAAUCUACCAUAUGAAUGAUACAUAGUUCGGUUCAAUGAUCACUUCAUCAGAACGUCAGGUCAAGGUGCAACCUAUGAAAAGGCAAGUGAUGGGCUACAAUUUCUAACCUAGAACAA
This 751-nucleotide ribosomal RNA is filed under the name Fejervarya limnocharis (Boie's wart frog). RNAcentral's name for it is "partial 12S ribosomal RNA". It matches the Rfam family "Bacterial small subunit ribosomal RNA", at positions 9 to 1247 of the family's 1533-position model. The record is from RNAcentral. Lineage: Eukaryota; Metazoa; Chordata; Amphibia; Anura; Dicroglossidae.